Molecule: long non-coding RNA, 1466 nt
Organism: Glossina fuscipes
Lineage: Eukaryota; Metazoa; Arthropoda; Insecta; Diptera; Glossinidae
Exons: 2
Source: RefSeq, a predicted model, not a curated record
GUCUGUUCUUAAGUAAGGUAGUGUUGUGUUUACGGGAGUGAUUGUUGAGUAAUUUGUUAUUUACGCCGGCAUAAUAUGUGUAUCUAUUGAAAAGAUUUCUUUUUCUAUUUCAAACAAAACUUUUCGCAAAUUUCUUAAAACCGCAUUACUUAAAAUUUAGUGAAUUAAUUUUGUUUCUAAUAUAAUUAAAUGUCAAGAAAUGAGUUGAAAAACGAACGUUAAAUCAGAUACAAGUAAAGCUUUUCGAUGCCCGAUGGGAACAUUGCUUGUGUGUUAUCCAAGGAAGUUAGUAAACGAGCUAAUAAAGACGCGAAAAAUUAAAGAAAGAUUUUGUAGACAAUAAUAAUAAUAAGAAAAUGAUUAAAUUAAGUUUUAUAUUAUUGCUAUGAUAUAUUAAAGGUGUAUAAUAUAUGAUAAAAAUGUAUUCUGUAUGCGCUUUCAAGAAGAGACAAAAUAAAGGGAAUCAAAGGGAUCACGUGACAGCGCACACAUUUGUAUAUCUAUCAAAGACCAAAUCGUUUGAUUUCAAAGAAAAAUUUUAUAUUUAUCAUCGGUAUGCAUAUAUCUGGUUGAACGUGUGGUUGUUUGCCGUCAUAGUGGCCGCGUUUGACAAUUCAUUGUACUGGCGGUGGUGCAGGCUGCAGAUUUUAGUUCACAGGAAUCAUGUAAGUUAAAAACGCAAGGGAAGCCCUAAAACAAUAACAAUUUACGGCAGGAAUAACGUGAGUUCUUUCCUGGAAUAUGUAAGGAUUUGCUUGCCUAUAUAUACGUCAUUAUACUUCGCAAGGCGUGUGCAUUCGUACCUACACUUGCGCUGAACUACGCUGCCGUGGUCCGUAGAUGUUUGUGCUGUGUUUUUAUGCUACAAAUUGAAUGAAGAAAUUUGUGAACACCCAUCAUGGGCUUACUAAUACAUAUGCGUGUCUAUGAAUGCAUCAAUUGUAUACUUAUCCAGGCAUAUGCGGCAGCCGUUUUCAGCCAGAACAACUUUCCGGACCAUCCCGAAAUCAACUAAAACAACAACCCUUUGCCGUACACAUCGGCCAAGAUCCGUGGAUACCAAUCAUCAGUGCAAAAUUGAAAACAAUAGAGGAUCAUGACAAUAUGCCGUGGGUAAGGAAGGAGACAAUGGCAUCGAGUUCACGCUUCUCACUAAUGUAUGUAUGAAUGCGGUUAACAUGUCAGUAGACGUUAAGGCGCCAUGAGAGUUCAUAUAUGACGUACAUAUGCAUAUAUAUGCCACACAUACGUGGAGGGUAUAGCAAAUGUAUACAUAUAUAUACACACAAGUACAAAAGAAAAAAUCCGUCAUGGAAGCAAAGCACAGAAAUUUAUUUUUUCUCUACUUUUUUGUACAAAAAUAUAAACACAAUUUAACAAAAUUUAUAUGUAAGAUUCACGAUAUAACCCGCAAGAGCGUGGAAAAGUGUUACGUGUGAAACAAUUGCAAAAAAAAAAAAAAAAAA